Molecule: ribosomal RNA, 433 nt
Filed under: uncultured bacterium
Lineage: Bacteria
Description: partial 16S ribosomal RNA
Rfam family: Bacterial small subunit ribosomal RNA
Source: RNAcentral
AGCGAACGCUGGCGGCAGGCCUAACACAUGCAAGUCGAACGGAUCCUUCGGGAUUAGUGGCGGACGGGUGAGUAACACGUGGGAACGUGCCCUUUGGUUCGGAACAACUCAGGGAAACUUAGGCUAAUACCGCAUGUGCCCUUCGGGGGAAAGAUUUAUCGCCAUUGGAGCGGCCCGCGUCUGAUUAGCUAGUUGGUGAGGUAACGGCCCACCAAGGCGACGAUCAGUAGCUGGUCUGAGAGGAUGAUCAGCCACACUGGGACUGAGACACGGCCCAGACUCCUACGGGAGGCAGCAGUGGGGAAUCUUGCGCAAUGGGGGAAAGCCUGACGCAGCCAUGCCGCGUGAAUGAUGAAGGUCUUAGGAUUGUAAAAUUCUUUCAGCGGGGACGAUAAUGACGGUACCCGCAGAAGAAGCCCCGGCUAACUUCGUG